Molecule: long non-coding RNA, 1706 nt
Organism: Cervus elaphus (red deer)
Lineage: Eukaryota; Metazoa; Chordata; Mammalia; Artiodactyla; Cervidae
Exons: 4
Source: RefSeq, a predicted model, not a curated record
GGAUGGGAAGUCACCAGUCCAUGAGGCAGAGCAGGCCCAGACCCAGGUCUCCAGACUCACAUGCAACCUUUAAUCUCCCCCCUGUGGAUUCUGAUGCCUCCUCCUACCCCCUGGGAACUUGGAGUCAGAGCCAAAGGAGAAGGGGAGUGGCCUUGGCCCCUGCAGCUCCAGGCACCAAGAGCUGGUUACCUUUCUCUAUCCUCCUCCCGGAAGAGAACAGAGAAUUGGCCUGGACCCCAGCGGCCCCUCCUCCAGGGCAGAGUCAGUCGGUACCUACCCACACCUGGUACCUCCCUUACUGGCAACAGAGUCCAGAGCUAGUAACAGCCACAGCAGGGACAAAGCCACCUGGGCAACUGCUGGAGACACUGGGAGUCGCAGGAAGGGAAGGCCUGGGAAGGCCUUGAACACCUGCCGCCUCUACCCCUCCUGGGAGAAGGUCCCAACACCCCACAGAUGGGCUCAGGGCCCCCCUGUAACAUCUCCACCGCCGCCCACCGCUGCAACGUGGGUGGCCUGCAGGCUGCAGUGAUCAUCAUCCCAACCCUGCUCUCCUCAUCCACUCUGCUAAUCGUCAGCUUCAUCAUAUGGAAAACUUGCCGCCGGUUGUCUCGAGUCACCCACCCCCGCCUGCCAUCCACAUGAGGGGCCCAGGAAUUUCAAUUGUGGAAUGUGACACCCAGAAAUGGAGCUGAGUGAUAUUCAUGCCCGUGAACCUCUGCUGCUGAGGCCCCUGGAGCUACCCUGCUCCUUUCAAAGAUCCAUUCAUCAAUAAUCUUUUGAUUCUGAAAGUCCUUGCAAUCAAUUCCCCAAACUUUUAAUUUUCAUUUCUUUCAGAAUCAGUUUGUUACUUUUAAAGAAAAAACUUUAGCUAAAAUUAACAGUGAAGAGAGAUGAAGCUAUACAGUGGGGUAUACAGUCAGCAUGGUCCAGUGUAGGUAUAAUAUGACCCACAUAUGUAAUUUUGUAUUUUCUAGUAGCCACAUUUUAAAAAUUGAAGAGAAGUUAGUGAAAUGAAUAUUAACAAUGUGUUUCAUUUCACCCAAUAUAGAUAAAUAUUAUUUAUCAUUUCAGUAUCUAGUCAAUAUUUUUAAAUUGCUAAUGAGAUGUUUUACAUUCUUCUCUUUGAACCAUGUCUUUGAAAUAUGGGGUGUAUUUUACACAUAUAGCAUAUCUCAAAUAAGACUGGCCACACUUUGAGUGCUCCAUAACCACAGGAGGCUGGUCGCCUGCAUAAUGGAUAGCACAGAUUAAGAUAUUCAAGGUGAUGAAGGACCUGCUAAGAAGUCCUGGCCUCAUUCUGAAAGCAGUGGGCAUCCCCUGAAGAGAUUCAAAUCUAGAAGUAACAUGAUAAAAUAUAUAUGUAACUUUAGGAAGAUCACUCUGACUUCCACUUAUAGAAUGGACAGGAAAGGAAUUGAAGCUCAAGUUAGGGAAAUCAGUUAGGAGGAGCUGAAGAGAGAAUGAGAGGUAAAGAUGUUGAUGAUAGACUUUGGUGGCAGCAGCUGAAAUAUUAAGAUGCAGUUCACCUCAAGGGAGGCUAAGGAGGCAGAAGUGAUGCACCUCAUCUUCACUGCUAACCCUACACAUGACAUCUAUUUCCCACCUGCACACUUUGUGUAUCUCCUUCCCAUCACUUCAUCUCACAUAUCUUCCCCUAUUCUCUCUGGCAACCAAAGAGGCAAAUCUAUGAUAUUUAAGGCAUA